This 854-nucleotide ribosomal RNA is filed under the name uncultured bacterium. Its description in RNAcentral is "bacterial SSU rRNA". It matches the Rfam family "Bacterial small subunit ribosomal RNA", at positions 28 to 894 of the family's 1533-position model. The record is from RNAcentral.
GAUGAACGCUAGCGGCAGGCUUAACACAUGCAAGUCGAGGGGUAUAGGUUUUCGGACCUAGAGACCGGCGCACGGGUGCGUAACGCGUAUGCAAUCUACCUUUUACAGAGGGAUAGCCCAGAGAAAUUUGGAUUAAUACCUCAUAGUAUUAUGACUCGGCAUCGAGAUAUAAUUAAAGUCACAACGGUAAAAGAUGAGCAUGCGUCCCAUUAGCUUGUUGGUAAGGUAACGGCUUACCAAGGCAACGAUGGGUAGGGGUCCUGAGAGGGAGACCCCCCACACUGGUACUGAGACACGGACCAGACUCCUACGGGAGGCAGCAGUGAGGAAUAUUGGUCAAUGGGCGCAAGCCUGAACCAGCCAUGCCGCGUGCAGGAUGAAGCAUCUAUGGUGUGUAAACUGCUUUUGUACGAGAAGAAACACUCCUACGUGUAGGAGCUUGACGGUAUCGUAAGAAUAAGGACCGGCUAACUCCGUGCCAGCAGCCGCGGUAAUACGGAGGGUCCAAGCGUUAUCCGGAAUCAUUGGGUUUAAAGGGUCCGUAGGCGGUUUUGUAAGUCAGUGGUGAAAGCCCAUCGCUCAACGGUGGAACGGCCAUUGAUACUGCAAGACUUGAAUUAUUAGGAAGUAACUAGAAUAUGUAGUGUAGCGGUGAAAUGCUUAGAGAUUACAUGGAAUACCAAUUGCGAAGGCAGGUUACUACUAAUGGGUUGACGCUGAUGGACGAAAGCGUGGGGAGCGAACAGGAUUAGAUACCUGGUAGUCCACGCCGUAACGAUGGGUACUAGCUGUUCGGAGCAAUCUGAGUGGCUAAGCGAAGUGAUAGUAUCCCNCUGGGAGUACGUCGCNGAUGA